This 453-nucleotide ribosomal RNA is filed under the name Oodescelis oblonga. RNAcentral describes it as "partial 28S ribosomal RNA". RNAcentral also lists the same sequence under 3 other names. The record is from RNAcentral. Lineage: Eukaryota; Metazoa; Arthropoda; Insecta; Coleoptera; Tenebrionidae.
UUCAGGGGUAAACCUGAGAAACCCGAAAGGUCGAAAGGGGAGAUUCAGCGUGUCUCGAUCGUAGCGCUGGACGGUCGUGCGACGGACGGCGUACGCGUCGUCCGCGCCUUUCGUUCUCCGAACUGCGGUCGAACGCGUGCACUUCUCCUCCUGUAGGACGUCGCGAUUCGUUGGGUGCCGGUCUAAGGCCCGAGGUGGAGUCCGUCGGAACGUUUCGGCGUUUCUGGCGAACCCUCGGUGUUUCCCGGUCGGCUCGCUCGACGAUAUACAGAUGGCGCGGGGCCGCUAUUCAGUUAGCGUUCGACCUUCGGCAAGCGCGUCCGUCGUGACGGUGAUCGGACCUGGUGCCGGUCCCGUUCCCGGACGGCUGUUCGCUGAGGUGUUCUCGAACAGACCUCGUUGAAACGCCGAUCUGCGACGCUAUAGCUUUGGGUACUUUCAGGACCCGUCUUG